CUUUGGGUGUGACUGCGUACCUUUUGUAUAAUGGGUCAGCGACUUAUAUUCUGUAGCAAGGUUAACCGAAUAGGGGAGCCGGAGGGAAACCGAGUCUUAACCGGGCGUUAAGUUGCAGGGUAUAGACCCGAAACCCGGUGAUCUAGCCAUGGGCAGGUUGAAGGUUGGGUAACACUAACUGGAGGACCGAACCGACUAAUGUUGAAAAAUUAGCGGAUGACCUGUGGCUGGGGGUGAAAGGCCAAUCAAACCGGGAGAUAGCUGGUUCUCCCCGAAAGCUAUUUAGGUAGCGCCUCGUGAAUUCAUCUCCGGGGGUAGAGCACUGUUUCGGCUAGGGGGCCAUCCCGGCUUACCAACCCGAUGCAAACUGCGAAUACCGGAGAAUGUUAUCACGGGAGACACACGGCGGGUGCUAACGUCCGUCGUGAAGAGGGAAACAACCCAGACCGCCAGCUAAGGUCCCAAAGUCAUGGUUAAGUGGGAAACGAUGUGGGAAGGCCCAGACAGCCAGGAUGUUGGCUUAGAAGCAGCCAUCAUUUAAAGAAAGCGUAAUAGCUCACUGGUCGAGUCGGCCUGCGCGGAAGAUGUAACGGGGCUAAACCAUGCACCGAAGCUGCGGCAGCGACACUGUGUGUUGUUGGGUA
This 644-nucleotide ribosomal RNA is filed under the name Salmonella enterica. RNAcentral describes it as "partial 23S ribosomal RNA". It matches the Rfam family "Bacterial large subunit ribosomal RNA", at positions 583 to 1230 of the family's 2925-position model. The record is from RNAcentral. RNAcentral also lists the same sequence under 1 other name. Lineage: Bacteria; Pseudomonadati; Pseudomonadota; Gammaproteobacteria; Enterobacterales; Enterobacteriaceae.